UAGGGAAUCUUCCGCAAUGGGCGAAAGCCUGACGGAGCAACGCCGCGUGAGUGAUGAAGGUCUUCGGAUCGUAAAACUCUGUUAUUAGGGAAGAACAAAUGUGUAAGUAACUAUGCACGUCUUGACGGUACCUAAUCAGAAAGCCACGGCUAACUACGUGCCAGCAGCCGCGGUAAUACGUAGGUGGCAAGCGUUAUCCGGAAUUAUUGGGCGUAAAGCGCGCGUAGGCGGUUUUUUAAGUCUGAUGUGAAAGCCCACGGCUCAACCGUGGAGGGUCAUUGGAAACUGGAAAACUUGAGUGCAGAUGAGGAAAGUGGAAUUCCAUGUGUAGCGGUGAAAUGCGCAGAGAUAUGGAGGAACACCAGUGGCGAAGGCGACUUUCUGGUCUGUAACUGACGCUGAUGUGCGAAAGCGGGGGGAUCAAACAGG
This 429-nucleotide ribosomal RNA is filed under the name Actinomycetes bacterium. Its description in RNAcentral is "Actinobacteria bacterium partial 16S ribosomal RNA". It matches the Rfam family "Bacterial small subunit ribosomal RNA", at positions 355 to 776 of the family's 1533-position model. The record is from RNAcentral. Lineage: Bacteria; Bacillati; Actinomycetota; Actinomycetes.